Molecule: ribosomal RNA, 305 nt
Filed under: uncultured bacterium
Lineage: Bacteria
Description: bacterial SSU rRNA
Rfam family: Bacterial small subunit ribosomal RNA
Source: RNAcentral
UUCAACCUACGGGACGCAGCAGUGGGGGAUAUUGCACAAUGGGGGAAACCCUGAUGCAGCGACGCCGCGUGUGGGAAGACGGUCCUCUGGAUUGUAAACCACUGUCCCCAGGGACGAAGAUGACGGUACCUGGGGAGGAAGCUCCGGCUAACUACGUGCCAGCAGCCGCGGUAAUACGUAGGGAGCGAGCGUUGUCCGGAAUUACUGGGUGUAAAGGGGGCGCAGACGGCGAUGCAAGCCAGGAGUGAAAGCCCGGGGCCCAACCCCGGGACUGCUCUUGGAACUGCGUGGCUAGAGUGCAGGAG